GCUCAAACACAUUCAGACAUGAAAAAUAUUCCGUUGACAUGGACCAGUCAGACAUCAAACAUGUCUACAUUGAAGGCUCUUCUAAGAAAGCUGACCAAUACGAAGCCUGUGAUUGGCUGGUAUUUUUGCAUGUGGUUGUGUUUACGUCCGAGAUACACCGAUAAUGCUGACACAUAUUUUCCACUGACGUGGACCAAUCAGACCUCGACACAGACAUCCGCUUCAAAGACCCUCACCAUCGUCAGCCCCCCAGAACCAGUCUCUGAGAUGGAGAGGUCAAGAGCUGUUCGCAUCGCUCUCGUCUGUGCUUUGUUCUCCAGGAUCUCUGGAGCAGAAGUGGAGAUGAGGGUCAGACAAGGAGACGACGUGACUCUCUACAGCGACUGUGUUUGGAAGAGUGGAUUUAAUAUAGUUUGGUUUAGAAACUCCUCAUGUGAGCAUCGACCUCCUCUCAUGAUAUCAACUCUAGAUUUGAUACGUGGUGCUGAUCCACGUUACUCUGCUGUGUGGAAUCCCUCCAGCAAAACUCAUGAUCUGUUGGUGAAGAACGUCUCUGAUUCAGAUGUGGGUCUGUACUACUGCGCUGUGUAUGAGAAAAACAUCACCAAAGACGAAAAGGGAGUUUUACACUCUGAAGUUAUUUAUCAUUACGGGAAAAGAACCACUCGACUCUCUCUCCUUGGUCCUUGUACUGAUCUCCCCCAGACCCCCUCAACCCCUCCUGUCUCAGACUGCAGCGUCUGCUGGAAGCUGCUGGUCAGUGUGUGUCCUGUGUGUGUUCUCCUCUCCUCCACCUGUCUGUACUGCAUCUACAGACACACAAAGAAAGCAGAAGCAGAACCUGGUCAAGAACGGAUGAACAAAACCCAGAGGCGGAAAAGUAGAACAACUGAUGAGGUUGAAGGAGAUGAGGUUUGUUAUGCUUCGUUGGAUCUCCCGAGCAGAGGACAGAAGCAUCUGAAGAAGAAGAAGAAGAAGAAGAAGAGAGUUGAGAGCUCUGAUUUCAGCACCUAUUCUGUAGUUAAAACUGAUAACAUAUGAAAAAUGUACCACAGUACUGUAAUAACUGGCACAUGGAAGGUAAAUGUCCAUUUAGUCUUAGAGAGGAUGUUCAACAUGCAUAAAGUAAAAUGUACUUUUAUUUAUGUAAAAUGAACUAGGAUGCAUCAUUUACUCAAAGACGAGACAAUUCAUUUAAGUUUGCAACUUUUUUUGGCACAAAAUGUAAAUUAAAAAUAAAAAAGCAUGCAUUUCACUGCAUUGCUCUUAAAAUAGGAUUGAGA
This is a long non-coding RNA of Pygocentrus nattereri (red-bellied piranha), 1283 nucleotides long. Lineage: Eukaryota; Metazoa; Chordata; Actinopteri; Characiformes; Serrasalmidae. The record is from Ensembl.